ACUCCUACGGGAGGCAGCAGUGGGGAAUAUUGCACAAUGGGCGCAAGCCUGAUGCAGCCAUGCCGCGUGUAUGAAGAAGGCCUUCGGGUUGUAAAGUACUUUCAGCAGUGAGGAAGGUGGGUAUGUUAAUAGCAUACUCAUUUGACGUUAGCUGCAGAAGAAGCACCGGCUAACUCCGUGCCAGCAGCCGCGGUAAUACGGAGGGUGCGAGCGUUAAUCGGAAUUACUGGGCGUAAAGCGCAUGCAGGUGGUUUGUUAAGUCAGAUGUGAAAGCCCGGGGCUCAACCUCGGAAUUGCAUUUGAAACUGGCAAACUAGAGUACUGUAGAGGGGGGUAGAAUUUCAGGUGUAGCGGUGAAAUGCGUAGAGAUCUGAAGGAAUACCGGUGGCGAAGGCGGCCCCCUGGACAGAUACUGACACUCAGAUGCGAAAGCGUGGGGAGCAAACAGGAUUAGAUACCCUGGUAGGGUCUGC
Molecule: ribosomal RNA, 473 nt
Filed under: uncultured bacterium
Lineage: Bacteria
Description: bacterial SSU rRNA
Rfam family: Bacterial small subunit ribosomal RNA
Source: RNAcentral